AGAUUCCUGGGGUGUACGCGAACGGCGUAUUUUACCCACAUUUCGAUUACUGGAGUUCGAGUCGAUUCGCGGAUGCCAUGCCCCCCACUGCAUGCGGUCGGCCAGGGGACGGCAGAAAACGGACGCAGGGCACCAACCUGCCGAGGAGGCGGGUGAAAAAUCCGUCGUGGACGGCAUUCUGGGAAUCGU
This 189-nucleotide non-coding RNA is filed under the name Oscillospiraceae bacterium. RNAcentral's name for it is "6S RNA". It matches the Rfam family "6S / SsrS RNA". Rfam says of the family: E. coli 6S RNA was the first non coding RNA to be sequenced, but its function was unknown until recently. It consists of 184 nucleotides that fold into an extended hairpin structure with a large single-stranded internal bulge. Lineage: Bacteria; Bacillati; Bacillota; Clostridia; Eubacteriales; Oscillospiraceae. The record is from RNAcentral.